CACAAAAUGUUUGGAUGCAGUCAGCUAGUCUUAGCACUUGCUCCUGGGAAGAAGGAAUGACCACAGCUCCUGAUCAAUCUGAAAGACGCAACUGGUUAUCAACCUAUUCAUUCUAUUCGAUUCCUUGAUUUACUUAUGUCCACUGAAAGAAUCAA
Long non-coding RNA from Pleuronectes platessa (European plaice), 155 nucleotides. RefSeq lists it as uncharacterized. The transcript is spliced from 2 exons. The record is from RefSeq and is a predicted model, not a curated record. NCBI's taxonomy places the organism in Eukaryota, Metazoa, Chordata, Actinopteri, Pleuronectiformes, Pleuronectidae.